GGAGCGGUCCGGAUGGUCGCGGUAUCGGCAACGGUAUCGAGGAAAGUCCGGGCUGCGCUGGGUAAGGAUGCCGGAUAACGUCCGGCGGGGGUGACCCCGGGAAAGUGCCACAGAGAGCAGACCGCCCUGCUAUUGCAGGGUAAGGGUGAAAGGGUGCGGUAAGAGCGCACCGCCUGAACCGGCAACGGAUCAGGGCAUGGUAAACCCCAUCCGCAGCAAGGCCAAAUAGGGAAGCAAUAGGCGUGGCCCGCGCUGCUUCCGGGUAGGCUGCUUGAGGGCGUCGGCAACGGCGUUCCCAGAUGAAUGACCGUCAAAGGCUUCGGCCUGAACAGAACCCGGCUUACAGGACCGCUCCGCUU
This 359-nucleotide RNase P RNA is filed under the name Mariprofundaceae bacterium. Its description in RNAcentral is "RNase P RNA component class A". It matches the Rfam family "Bacterial RNase P class A". Rfam says of the family: Ribonuclease P (RNase P) is a ubiquitous endoribonuclease, found in archaea, bacteria and eukarya as well as chloroplasts and mitochondria. Its best characterised activity is the generation of mature 5'-ends of tRNAs by cleaving the 5'-leader elements of precursor-tRNAs. Lineage: Bacteria; Pseudomonadati; Pseudomonadota; Candidatius Mariprofundia; Mariprofundales; Mariprofundaceae. The record is from RNAcentral.